Molecule: ribosomal RNA, 497 nt
Filed under: uncultured bacterium
Lineage: Bacteria
Description: partial 16S ribosomal RNA
Rfam family: Bacterial small subunit ribosomal RNA
Source: RNAcentral
GAUGAACGCUGGCGGCGUGCCUAAUACAUGCCAGUCGAGCGAACAGACGAGGAGCUUGCUCAUCUGACGUUAGCGGCGGACGGGUGAGUAACACGUGGAUAACCUACCUAUAAGACUGGGAUAACUUCGGGAAACCGGAGCUAAUACCGGAUAAUAUAUUGAACCGCAUGGUUCAAUAGUGAAAGACGGUUUUGCUGUCACUUAUAGAUGGAUCCGCGCCGCAUUAGCUAGUUGGUAAGGUAACGGCUUACCAAGGCAACGAUGCGUAGCCGACCUGAGAGAGUGAUAGGCGACCCUGGAACUGAGACACGGUCCAGGCUCCUACGGGACGCAGCAGUCGGCAAUGUUCGGCAGUGGGCGGAAGCCUGACGCAGCAGCGCCGCGUGAGAGAUGAAGAUCUUCGGAUCGUAAAACUCUGUUAUUAGGGAAGAACAAAUGUGUCCGUAAAUAUGCCCGUCUUGACGGUAACUGAUCAGAAAGCCCCGGCUAACUACGUG